AGCCCGCUUAACUGCGAGAGUGACGGCUCGAGCAGGUACGAAAGUAGGUCAUAGUGAUCCGGUGGUUCUGAAUGGAAGGGCCAUCGCUCAACGGAUAAAAGGUACUCCGGGGAUAACAGGCUGAUACCGCCCAAGAGUUCAUAUCGACGGCGGUGUUUGGCACCUCGAUGUCGGCUCAUCACAUCCUGGGGCUGAAGUCGGUCCCAAGGGUAUGGCUGUUCGCCAUUUAAAGUGGUACGCGAGCUGGGUUUAGAACGUCGUGAGACAGUUCGGUCCCUAUCUGCCGUGGGCGUUGGAUGAUUGAGGGGAGCUGCUCCUAGUACGAGAGGACCGGAGUGGACGAACCGCUGGUGUUCGGGUUGUGUCGCCAGACGCAUUGCCCGGUAGCUAAGUUCGGCACAGAUAAGCGCUGAAAGCAUCUAAGCGCGAAGCUGGCCCCGAGAUGAGUCAUCCCUAGAGCUUCGAGCUCUCUAAAGGGUUGUUCUAGACUAGAACGUUGAUAGGCAGGGUGUGUAAGCGCUGUGAGGCGUUGAGCUAACCUGUACUAAUUGCCCGUGAGGCUUAACCAUACAACACCCAAG
Molecule: ribosomal RNA, 581 nt
Filed under: Salinivibrio sp. KP-1
Lineage: Bacteria; Pseudomonadati; Pseudomonadota; Gammaproteobacteria; Vibrionales; Vibrionaceae
Description: bacterial LSU rRNA
Rfam family: Bacterial large subunit ribosomal RNA
Source: RNAcentral